UGUACUCCAGUUAGAUUUGAAAGAGAAAGUGUAUUUAAUAAUGCGUAUAAUGUGUAUAAUGUGUAGUGUAUUUGUGUAUUUGUGCAUGUGUAGUGUAGUGUAUUUGUGUGUGUGUGUGCAAGUGCAAGUAAGAGAGAAUCAUAGGAAGGGAGAAGAAGGCCUGGAAGAUGUCCUGUGAUCGCGAGGUUCGUGUGAGUCUUCAUCAACAUAUCGUUACCCGUCUCUUGACCGCAGCCGGGCGUGAAAGCAGCCGUGCGUUUAUGCGGAACGCUUUUGUGUGCCAGUUGAAGCUGG
Molecule: non-coding RNA, 294 nt
Organism: Linepithema humile (Argentine ant)
Lineage: Eukaryota; Metazoa; Arthropoda; Insecta; Hymenoptera; Formicidae
Source: RefSeq, a predicted model, not a curated record